GACGAACGCUUGCGGCGUGCUUAACACAUGCAAGUCGAACGGAAAGGCCCUGCUUUUGUGGGGUGCUCGAGUGGCGAACGGGUGAGUAACACGUGAGUAACCUGCCCUUGACUUUGGGAUAACUUCAGGAAACUGGGGCUAAUACCGGAUAGGAGCUCCUGCUGCAUGGUGGGGGUUGGAAAGUUUCGGCGGUUGGGGAUGGACUCGCGGCUUAUCAGCUUGUUGGUGGGGUAGUGGCUUACCAAGGCUUUGACGGGUAGCCGGCCUGAGAGGGUGACCGGCCACAUUGGGACUGAGAUACGGCCCAGACUCCUACGGGAGGCAGCAGUGGGGAAUAUUGCACAAUGGGCGGAAGCCUGAUGCAGCAACGCCGCGUGCGGGAUGACGGCCUUCGGGUUGUAAACCGCUUUCGCCUGUGACGAAGCGUGAGUGACGGUAAUGGGUAGAGAAGCACCGGCUAACUACGUGCCAGCAGCCGCGGUGAUACGUAGGGUGCGAGCGUUGUCCGGAUUUAUUGGGCGUAAAGGGCUCGUAGGUGGUUGAUCGCGUCGGAAGUGUAAUCUUGGGGCUUAACCCUGAGCGUGCUUUCGAUACGGGUUGACUUGAGGAAGGUAGGGGAGAAUGGAAUUCCUGGUGGAGCGGUGGAAUGCGCAGAUAUCAGGAGGAACACCAGUGGCGAAGGCGGUUCUCUGGGCCUUUCCUGACGCUGAGGAGCGAAGGCGUGGGGAGCGAACAGGCUUAGAUACCCUGGUAGUCCACGCUGUAAACGGUGGGUACUAGGUGUGGGGUCCAUUCCACGGGUUCCGUGCCGUAGCUAACGCUUUAAGUACCCCGCCUGGGGAGUACGGCCGCAAGGCUAAAACUCAAAGGAAUUGACGGGGCCCCGCACAAGCGGCGGAGCAUGCGGAUUAAUUCGAUGCAACGCGUAGAACCUUACCUGGGUUUGACAUGGAUCGGGAGUGCUCAGAGAUGGGUGUGCCUCUUUUGGGGUCGGUUCACAGGUGGUGCAUGCCUGUCGUCAGCUCGUGUCGUGAGAUGUUGGGUUAAGUCCCGCAACGAGCGCAACCCUUGUUCACUGUUGCCAGCACGUUAUGGUGGGGACUCAGUGGAGACCGCCGGGGUCAACUCGGAGGAAGGUGGGGAUGACGUCAAGUCAUCAUGCCCCUUAUGUCCAGGGCUUCACGCAUGCUACAAUGGCUGGUACAGAGAGUGGCGAGCCUGUGAGGGUGAGCGAAUCUCGGAAAGCCGGUCUCAGUUCGGAUUGGGGUCUGCAACUCGACCUCAUGAAGUCGGAGUCGCUAGUAAUCGCAGAUCAGCAACGCUGCGGUGAAUACGUUCCCGGG
Molecule: ribosomal RNA, 1343 nt
Filed under: uncultured bacterium
Lineage: Bacteria
Description: 16S ribosomal RNA
Rfam family: Bacterial small subunit ribosomal RNA
Source: RNAcentral